AGUUUGAUCAUGGCUCAGGACGAACGCUGGCGGCGUGCCUAACACAUGCAAGUCGAGCGGGGUCCAUCCGGUAGCAAUACCGGGGAAGACCUAGCGGCGAACGGGUGAGUAACACGUGAGAAACCUGCCCCGAAGUCUGGGAUAACCCGAGGAAACUCGAGCUAAUACCGGAUGUCUUCUUCUGAUCGCAUGGUCGGAUGAAGAAAGAUUUAUCGCUUCGGGAGGGUCUCGCGGCCUAUCAGCUAGUUGGCGGGUAACGGCCCACCAAGGCGUCGACGGGUAGCUGGUCUGAGAGGACGAUCAGCCACACUGGGACUGAGACACGGCCCAGACUCCUACGGGAGGCAGCAGUGGGGAAUAUUGCGCAAUGGGCGAAAGCCUGACGCAGCAACGCCGCGUGCGGGAUGAAGGCCUUCGGGUUGUAAACCGCUUUCAGUGGGGACGAAUUCAGACGGUAUCCACAGAAGAAGCCCCGGCCAACUACGUG
Molecule: ribosomal RNA, 487 nt
Filed under: uncultured bacterium
Lineage: Bacteria
Description: bacterial SSU rRNA
Rfam family: Bacterial small subunit ribosomal RNA
Source: RNAcentral